Astyanax mexicanus (Mexican tetra) is the source of this 461-nucleotide long non-coding RNA. RefSeq lists it as uncharacterized. NCBI's taxonomy places the organism in Eukaryota, Metazoa, Chordata, Actinopteri, Characiformes, Acestrorhamphidae. The transcript is spliced from 3 exons. The record is from RefSeq and is a predicted model, not a curated record.
UUACACAUUAUCUGAUGUGCACAGAAGAAGUGUUACCUUGGAACACAAAAUUAUAUCUAGACAAAUAAAACGAGCUAAUGUAAUUUAACUUUUUUCUUGUUGCAGUAAGUGAUAUCAAAGAUCCUCCUGAGCAGUUUAAAGGAGAGCACAACAUUGAAGAGUUUUGGGACUCAGUUAAUUUGGAAAUGAUUGCUCGUGGUUUUGUACAAAGCCGUGCAAAAAACCCGCUGGCCGUCUAUCCUAGUUUUGAUAGAUGGGCUCCAUGGAUUGGAGGACAUACAAGGAAGUCGGACAUAGUGCUGAACACGGAAUACCAAAAACUGUCCUCUGCCAAAGCCACAGCAGAAAGCGAAUUGGUUAUGGUAACUGAGGAGCGGCUUGUGGAUGAAUUAAGAAAACAGAAGGUCGGCAUUGUCCGAAAGCUGUGCAAAGCAUGCAACAUUGAUUCAAAGGGAUCCCAU